GACGAACGCUGGCGGCGUGCUUAACACAUGCAAGUCGAACGGAAAGGCCCUGCUUGCAGGGUACUCGAGUGGCGAACGGGUGAGUAACACGUGGGUGAUCUGCCCUGCACUUCGGGAUAAGCCUGGGAAACUGGGUCUAAUACCGGAUAGGAGCCAUUUUUAGUGUGAUGGUUGGAAAGUUUUUUCGGUGUAGGAUGAGCUCGCGGCCUAUCAGCUUGUUGGUGGGGUAAUGGCCUACCAAGGCGGCGACGGGUAGCCGGCCUGAGAGGGUGGACGGCCACAUUGGGACUGAGAUACGGCCCAGACUCCUACGGGAGGCAGCAGUGGGGAAUUUUGCACAAUGGGCGCAAGCCUGAUGCAGCGACGCCGCGUGGGGGAUGACGGCCUUCGGGUUGUAAACUCCUUUCGCUAGGGACGAAGCUUUUUGUGACGGUACCUAGAGAAGAAGCACCGGCUAACUACGUG
Molecule: ribosomal RNA, 465 nt
Filed under: uncultured bacterium
Lineage: Bacteria
Description: partial 16S ribosomal RNA
Rfam family: Bacterial small subunit ribosomal RNA
Source: RNAcentral